UAGGGAAUCUUCCACAAUGGGCGCAAGCCUGAUGGAGCAACACCGCGUGAGUGAAGAAGGGUUUCGGCUCGUAAAGCUCUGUUGUAAGAGAAGAAUGACAUUGAGAGUAACUGUUCAAUGUGUGACGGUAUCUUACCAGAAAGGAACGGCUAAAUACGCGCCAG
Molecule: ribosomal RNA, 164 nt
Filed under: uncultured bacterium
Lineage: Bacteria
Description: partial 16S rRNA
Rfam family: Bacterial small subunit ribosomal RNA
Source: RNAcentral